CCGACCUCGAGAGGGUGACCGGCCACAUUGGGACUGAGAUACGGCCCAGACUCCUACGGGAGGCAGCAGCUGAGAAUCUUCCACAAUGGACGAAAGUCUGAUGGAGCGACAUCGCGUGAGGGAUGAAGGCCUUCGGGUUGUAAACCUCGGAAAUUAUCGAAGAAUGAGUGACAGUAGAUAAUGUAAGCCUCGGCUAACUACGUGCCAAGU
This 210-nucleotide ribosomal RNA is filed under the name uncultured Bifidobacterium sp. Its description in RNAcentral is "partial 16S ribosomal RNA". It matches the Rfam family "Bacterial small subunit ribosomal RNA", at positions 287 to 513 of the family's 1533-position model. The record is from RNAcentral. Lineage: Bacteria; Bacillati; Actinomycetota; Actinomycetes; Bifidobacteriales; Bifidobacteriaceae.